GAUGAAGAACGUAGCGAAAUGCGAUACUUGGUGUGAAUUGCAGAAUCCCGUGAACCAUCGAGUCUUUGAACGCAAGUUGCGCCCGAAGCCAUUAGGCCGAGGGCACGCCUGCCUGGGCGUCACACGUCGUUGCCCCCCCAUCUACUCCUUCGGGAUUGCGGGGGGCGGAUGAUGGCCUCUCGUGCGCCUCGUCGCGCGGUUGGCCUAAAUGCCAAGUCCUCGGCGACGCACGCCACGACAAUCGGUGGUUGCGAAACCUCGGUUGCCUGUCGUGUGCGGUCGUCGCGCAUCGAGGGCUCGAAAAAAUUGCCGGGCUUCGGCUCGACUUUCAACGCGACCCCAGGUCAGGCGGGGUUACCCGCUGAAUUUAAGCAUAUCAAAAGCGGAGGA
Molecule: unclassified non-coding RNA, 390 nt
Filed under: soil metagenome
Description: partial contains 5.8S ribosomal RNA, internal transcribed spacer 2, and large subunit ribosomal RNA
Rfam family: 5.8S ribosomal RNA (bases 1-122)
Source: RNAcentral